Xenopus laevis (African clawed frog) is the source of this 418-nucleotide non-coding RNA. The record is from the annotation of a RefSeq genome assembly. Lineage: Eukaryota; Metazoa; Chordata; Amphibia; Anura; Pipidae.
AUGUCCCUAAUACAGAGCUGGCUCUUCUGCCUUCUCAUCCCGACCUGUUUCUCCCAGAAUGUUGUGAUUUCUCAAGAGCCGAGAUCCAUUAUAACCAGAGCUGGUUCUGCCGCCCUAAUGAGAUGUGAGCAGAAGACAACAGACUAUAAUACCAUGUUCUGGUACCAACAGAGAGACGGGCACGGCCUACAGCUCAUCUCUACUCAGCUCCGGGGAGACAAACCCACAUAUGAAGAGGGCUACAAAGAUGGCUUCCAGGUGAACAGAACCACCAGUAAUAAGAUCAGUUUCCUGGAGAUCAAAUCCCCGAAGCCCCAAGAUCAGUCACUUUAUCUGUGUGCGGCCAGUGAUGCACAGUGACACCUCCCAACCCACUGCCUUUGUACUAACCCCCCCCCCACUGACACACUCAUAUCCC